UACGUAGGGUGCAGGCGUUAAUCGGAAUUACUGGGCGUAAAGCGUGCGCAGGCGGUUUCUUAAGUCAGAUGUGAAAGCCCCGGGCUUAACCUGGGAACUGCGUUUGAAACUGGGAGACUUGAGUGUGGCAGAGGGGGGUGGAAUUCCACGUGUAGCAGUGAAAUGCGUAGAUAUGUGGAGGAACACCGAUGGCGAAGGCAGCCCCCUGGGUUAACACUGACGCUCAGACGCGAAAGCAUGGGGAGCGAUCCGG
RNAcentral lists this ribosomal RNA (253 nucleotides) under uncultured bacterium. Its description in RNAcentral is "partial 16S ribosomal RNA". It matches the Rfam family "Bacterial small subunit ribosomal RNA", at positions 524 to 776 of the family's 1533-position model. The record is from RNAcentral.